AAGAAUGGCCAAAAUCCAAAACACUGACAACGCCAAAUGCCGGGGUGGGCGUGCGGCAACAGGAAGUCUCAUGCGUUGCUGGCGGAACUGCAAAACGGUGCAGCCACUUUGGGAGACAGUUUGGCAGUUUGUUACAAGGCUUAAAUGUACUUUCAUCAUACCAUCCAGCAACUGCCCGCCUCGAUAUUUACCUCGAUAAAUGAGUUGAAAACUUAUGUUCACACCAACACCUGCACACGAAUGUUUAGAGCAGUUUUAUUCACCGUCACUAAAAACUGGAAGCAACCAAGAUGUCUGCCUAGAGACUUUGAGUAAAGCCGAUGAUGUGCCAGUGUAUGGUGGGCCUCAGCCAAUCAGCUGAAGGCCUUAACAGAAAGAAGACUGAGAUCCCUGAGGAGGAAGGAAUUCUGCCAGCGACAGACUCGGGACUCACAAUGAGGCAUCAACUCUUCCCUGGGUCUCCAACCUGCCCUGAGGUUUUAGACUUGCUGCCUCCAUAAUUACACAGGCCAACUUUAAACAAUAAAUCCCUCUCUCUCCGCAUAUAUACCUAUCACACCCCAUUGGUUCUGUCUCUUUGGAGGACCAUGACCAGUACAGAUGGGCUCAGGGAAGGCAUCCCCAAGGGGAGGGUCCU
Molecule: long non-coding RNA, 637 nt
Filed under: Homo sapiens (human)
Lineage: Eukaryota; Metazoa; Chordata; Mammalia; Primates; Hominidae
Description: HSALNT0171072
Source: RNAcentral